Molecule: ribosomal RNA, 496 nt
Filed under: uncultured bacterium
Lineage: Bacteria
Description: partial 16S ribosomal RNA
Rfam family: Bacterial small subunit ribosomal RNA
Source: RNAcentral
AUGAACGCUGGCGGCGUGCCUAAUACCUGCAAGUCGAGCGAACAGACGAGGAGCUUGCUCCUCUGACGUUAGCGGCGGACGGGUGAGUAACACGUGGAUAACCUACCUAUAAGACUGGUAUAACUUCGGGAAACCGGAGCUAAUACCGGAUAAUAUAUUGAACCGCAUGGUUCAAUAGUGAAAGACGGUUUUGCUGUCACUUAUAGAUGGAUCCGCGCCGCAUUAGCUAGUUGGUAAGGUAACGGCUUACCAAGGCAACGAUGCGUAGCCGACCUGAGAGGGUGAUCGGCCACACUGGAACUGAGACACGGUCCAGACUCCUACGGGAGGCAGCAGUAGGGAAUCUUCCGCAAUGGGCGAAAGCCUGACGGAGCAACGCCGCGUGAGUGAUGAAGGUCUUCGGAUCGUAAAACUCUGUUAUUAGGGAAGAACAAAUGUGUAAGUAACUAUGCACGUCUUGACGGUACCUAAUCAGAAAGCCACGGCUAACUACGUG